Molecule: transfer RNA, 362 nt
Filed under: Microcystis aeruginosa
Lineage: Bacteria; Bacillati; Cyanobacteriota; Cyanophyceae; Chroococcales; Microcystaceae
Description: 16S-23S ribosomal RNA intergenic spacer
Rfam family: tRNA (bases 135-208)
Source: RNAcentral
AAGGGAGACCUAAUUCAGGUAGGAGACGAAAAAAAAGUAGUCCCAACCAAGAGUCAAUCCCAAAAGGUCGGAGCGAGGCGAAAUUGGCUUUCAAACUAGGUUCUGGGUUCACACAAGACCUGAAUCAGGAACAAGGGCUAUUAGCUCAGGUGGUUAGAGCGCACCCCUGAUAAGGGUGAGGUCCCUGGUUCGAGUCCAGGAUGGCCCACCUGCACAGGUGGCAAAAACAAGAGAAGCGAGGAAUCAGCACCUUAUCUUAUCUAUAUAUAUAUAGGAGAGAAUGCUGGCUCUGAGUAAAGAGUCCAGAGGAACCUUGAAAACUGCAUAGAGCUAGGUGAAAAAGCCAAAAAAGAAGACCGCAA